Molecule: ribosomal RNA, 253 nt
Filed under: uncultured bacterium
Lineage: Bacteria
Description: partial 16S ribosomal RNA
Rfam family: Bacterial small subunit ribosomal RNA
Source: RNAcentral
UACGUAGGGACCGAGCGUUGUCCGGAUUCAUUGGGCGUAAAGAGCUCGUAGGCGGCCACUCACGUCGAAUGUGAAACCUCGAGGCUCAACCUCGAGCCUGCAUUCGAUACUGGGCGGCUAGAGUCUGGUAGGGGGAUCUGGAAUUCCUGGUGUAGCGGUGGAAUGCGCAGAUAUCUGGAGGAACACCGGUGGCGAAAGCGGCUCACUGGACCGUCUCUGACGCUGAGGUGCGAAAGCCAGGGUAGCGAACGGG